Molecule: long non-coding RNA, 563 nt
Filed under: Androctonus crassicauda
Lineage: Eukaryota; Metazoa; Arthropoda; Arachnida; Scorpiones; Buthidae
Source: RNAcentral
ACUCUAGUCAGCAUUUUUCCAGGGUUUCAGCUGUUGAGAUGGUAGAACUGCUGUCUUUUUGUGCAAGGAUGGUCCUGCACCAUUUGGCUAAUGUCCAUUUCAGGUUGUACCUAGGGGAACUUCUUUUUUUCCACUAUGGGCCUGGGUGCGAUAGAGUCUUUGUGGGACUUUAUAUAUACAAAAAGCCUAGGGCAGGCUGGGGCUGGUAUUCUUUGGUGUUUCCAUAUUUGUGGGAAGAAGUCUUGCCUUGUUAUUCAAUCCACGGUUGCCCUUAGUUCGGUGGUCAGGUCCUUAUGUAUUAUCUCUGGUUGUGUCGCCUUGAUAUAUUCUUCCAGAAACUUGUGAUAUUUCUUUGUCUCUGAGGACCAUUUUCUUCAUUUUAUCCUCUCUUGUGAUUGUGUAUUCAUUCUCCUUCAGCUAUUGGAGAGUUUUCUGUAGGAGGUAGGUGUCAUGGCGGCUAUGGCUUACGGCAACUUAGGAACAGGGCCGGCGUGACCUUUUGCGGGGCCAGGUUCAAAAAUUUUGUGAGGCCUGAAUACACAUUCAAAUCCUAUUCAUUUGGG